This 1228-nucleotide long non-coding RNA is filed under the name Lathyrus oleraceus (garden pea). RNAcentral's name for it is "Pisum sativum (pea) long non-coding RNA (PSAT_LNC012171)". The record is from RNAcentral. Lineage: Eukaryota; Viridiplantae; Streptophyta; Magnoliopsida; Fabales; Fabaceae.
AAAAUGUGAAGCGAAAGCAAUAUUAAUCAAACCGCAUCAAAAACAACAAAAGGAGAAACAAAAGAAACAAACCCGAGCUGCUGCAUGUUGUUGCUGAAAUGCUGAGUAGCGUUAUCGUGUGGGCGGUGUUGUUGUUUCUUUGCAAUGCCACUAUAAGAGGAUUCACGUGUGCCGGAAAAUGAAAAUGGAAAGAUGGUGGUCGGUAGCGGUAUCGGAGCUUUGAGAGGGGGUGUACGUUGAGGUCGUGGUGAUGCGAAUUCCGCGGUUUAUUGGUUUUGUGUGCAUGUGAUUAUAGAGGGGUUGUAUGUGAUAAAUGAGUGAAGAGGAAAAUAUGGAAGGUGGUUGAAAGAAGCUGGAGUACAUGAAAAAGUGAAGAGGAUGCAAGAUUUGAAUAUCUUUUGUGUGUUAAAAAAAAAGUUCUUUAUUACCAUCAAUUGGUGAUUUUUGUAGUGUGGUUAACGUGUGGGUGAUUGGUUCCAAUUCAAGGCAAUGUUUUUUUUUAUACUUUUUUUCCUUUCAAGGAUGUUAUACUUAUUUUGUGUAAGAGGACCACUUAUCCUCUUUUUUGAAAACACAUAAACUCUCUUUUUACUAUAAAAAAAUAAAAUUGCAAUUUUCAUGAAACAAUCUUACCAACCUAACUGACACUAGUAUUAGAACAACAAAAUACAUACCCUUUUGAUUCCUUUAUCUGUAAAAUGAAUUAAAACUAAUAAUUUAAAUAAAAAUUAAAAUACUUAAAACAAAAUCAAAAUAAAAAUAUAAACAAUUCUAUUUGAUUAUUUAAAACCUAUUGACAAAAAAAUAGGAAAAAAAGAAGACUAAAAAUGAAUAAAAAUUGGACGCAAAAGUGCUCGAAAAAUUAAAAUGAAUGAACCAAAAUGACCAGUGCGAAAUAAACUUAUUGAAAAAAUACAGUGUUUCUUUUAAUUUUGAAAUAAAUUUUGACCNGUUGAGGUUGUGGUGAUGCGAAUUCCGUGGUUAUAUUGGUUUUGUGUGCAUGUGAUUAUAGAGGGGUUGUAUGUGAUAAAUGAGUGAAGAGGAAAAUAUGAAAGGUGGUUGAAAGAAACUGCAGUACAUGAAAAAGUGAAGAGGAUGCAGGAUUUGAAUGUCUUUUGUGUGUUAAAAAAAAAGAGUUCUUUAUUACCAUCAAUUGGUGAUUUUUGUAGUGUGGUUAACGUGUCGGUGAUUGGUUCCAAUUCAAGGCAAUGCUUUUUUUUAACUUUUU